UAAUACGGAGGGUGCAAGCGUUAUCCGGAAUCAUUGGGUUUAAAGGGUCCGCAGGCGGACUAAUAAGUCAGUGGUGAAAGCCUACAGCUUAACUGUAGAACUGCCAUUGAAACUAUUAGUCUUGAAUUCGGUCGAAGUGGGCGGAAUGUGUCAUGUAGCGGUGAAAUGCAUAGAUAUGACACAGAACACCGAUAGCGAAGGCAGCUCACUAGGCCUGAAUUGACGCUCAGGGACGAAAGCGUGGGGAGCGAACAGGAUUAGAUACCCUGGUAGUCCACGCCGUAAACGAUCAUUACUCGAUAUUAGCGAUAUACAGUUAGUGUCUAAGCGAAAGUGAUAAGUAAUGCACCUGGGGAGUACGAUCGCAAGGUUG
RNAcentral lists this ribosomal RNA (373 nucleotides) under uncultured Bacteroidota bacterium. RNAcentral describes it as "bacterial SSU rRNA". It matches the Rfam family "Bacterial small subunit ribosomal RNA", at positions 521 to 896 of the family's 1533-position model. The record is from RNAcentral. Lineage: Bacteria; Pseudomonadati; Bacteroidota.